Molecule: long non-coding RNA, 436 nt
Filed under: Manacus vitellinus (golden-collared manakin)
Lineage: Eukaryota; Metazoa; Chordata; Aves; Passeriformes; Pipridae
Description: lncRNA (ENSMVIG00005017812.1)
Source: RNAcentral
GUAUAAAAUAAAUGACACUGAGUAUUAUUUUUGGGGAAAAGAAUGACACUGAAAGCUUUUUCUUUAUUACCUGCAGAGGAGAAGAAAGUAAAGAGCACUAAAGUGGAAGCAAAACUUAAAAAGGAAGUGAAGGAUGGAAAAGGAGAAACAAAGGCGGCCGAGAAAGUCAAGCAGGCAGAGAUUAAACCAACAGAAACUGGGCUAAUAAAGGCCAAAACGAAAGUUAAGGAGGAGAAAGCUCUUCAGACUGUAACUAAAUCGGACAAGAAAGAUCAAUAUGCGUUCUGUCGCUAUGUGAUUGACAUGUUUGCGCAAGGGGAUUUUUAUCCAGAAGAAAAGUCUAUUGUGGUACCCAGAGAAGUGAAAAGUAAGUUGUUUUUUAUUAUAUUUCCCUUGUCUUCAUGUUAAUUUAUGCAAAGGAUAGGAGUAUAUUGUC